GCAGCGCUCGCGGUAGUCAGACUGCGUGGCGUUGUACUCGGACAUCACCUCCACGAACUUCCGGGACAGUGUGGAGUGCUGGGGGCCCGAGACGGGAGUGCAGGUGUCAGCCCCAGCCCCACCCGGGCCCCAGAGCCUCAGGCGCCCCGCUACUCGCCCCGGAGACCCCGCCCACACCUGUGUCUUUCGGAUCCUCAGGUCUGCGGAGGAGCGGUUCAGGCCUUCCUCCUGCUCGAUGCUCUGCUCGAUGCCUGGGGAACAGCCGGCUGCUGAUAACCUGCCCCGUUCGCCGCUGCCUCGCCGCCCACACACCCGGGAUCGGGCUCGGAACCUCCCCUGGAGGGACUCGUGUUGUCUGUUGAGUGGGGUCACACAGGAAGCAGAGGAAGGGGCAGCGCCACGCACCGAUGCAGGAGGGGCCGGCAAAGGCUAUCCAGGUGCAGAGUUGGGCCUGACAGGCACCAGAGGCCAGUCAUGUUGUCACUUGGCUCGGGGCCUGCCUUGGGUCUCAGCCACAGGUGUCGGCUCUGCCCCUCAGUCCCAGGGGCCGCCGCACAAAAGCCAGUCCAUCACAGGGUUGGAGGCCCUGAUUGAUUACGGCCCCAGCUCCCUUGGGAAUCGGCCAACCCUUUCAAAGUGGCAGUCACAGCUCCGGAAAGACGGCUGGAUUAGAGUGGGGGACCGGAGAAGCUGUGGUGCGGAGGCGGCAGCUGGAGUCGUGAGGCAGUUACAAGCUCCGAGGUGGCUCAGUGACAAAGAAUCUGCCUGCCCGUGCAGGAGAUGUGGGUUUGAUCCCUGGAUCGGGAAGAUCCCCUGGAGGAGGAAACAGCAACCCACUCCAGCAUUCUUGCCUGGAAGAUCCCAUGGACAGAGGAGCCUGGGUGAAGCGGCUGGCUCCAGGCUCCAUUAUGCAGACAAAUGAGCACAGAGAGGUUAAGGCACCCACCUGCCUGUUCUUGCUCCGAACAGUCCCUUCAGUCGGCAGACAGAGCACUAGGCUUCACCACUCAGGCCUGCCUGCUGCCCCGGAGAGGAUCGGCCCCCGUGAGAGAUGAGAAGGGCUGGAGAAGGCUGGAGGGCUGGGCCCGGCCUGCAGCGCGGAGGAAACAUGCCAGCUCCUUCCCCAAGUGUGACUUUUAUAAAUAAGCUCCCUUCGC
RNA transcript from Dama dama (fallow deer), 1157 nucleotides. RefSeq lists it as uncharacterized. The transcript has 6 exons. Lineage: Eukaryota; Metazoa; Chordata; Mammalia; Artiodactyla; Cervidae. The record is from RefSeq and is a predicted model, not a curated record.